Molecule: long non-coding RNA, 7108 nt
Organism: Phyllostomus discolor (pale spear-nosed bat)
Lineage: Eukaryota; Metazoa; Chordata; Mammalia; Chiroptera; Phyllostomidae
Exons: 3
Source: RefSeq, a predicted model, not a curated record
UUGCUUAAAAAAAACAACAACAACAACCCUGGCUGGUGUGGCUCUGUGGGUUGAGCAUGGGGCCUGCCAAACAAAAAGUUGCUGGUGGGAUUUCCCGUGAGGGCACAUGCCUGGGUUGUGAGCCAGGUCUCCAGUUGGGGGCAUGCAAGAGGCAACCGAUUGAUGUUUCUCUCUCACAUCAAUGUUUCUCUCCAUCUCUUUCUACCUUCCCCCACCUACUGAAAAAUAAAACCUUCAAAAAAUCAUUAUUAUAGGAGUAUUUAGUCUCUGUACUCUCUUCCCUGGAAAUGCGCUCCUUAGGUCUUCAAAGGUGCUGAUUCUCUCUUCCCCUAUAGGCCAGGUUGGCAGCGUGCAUCAUCUCCAUCCUUUCUCAGUCAGCGGGGUGCUAGAGGACUAUAUCUGAUGUCACACCAACAGCAAGGGGCCAGAAGAUGAACCAGGAGAACCAUCCAUGCCUUCGACCAUAGUCCCAGUGGCCUCCUUGUUUCAGCAAAGGGAAGCAGGGAUCUUGGAUACCAAGUAUCCAGAUACGUGCUAAUAAAUACCCUCUGUCUAAACUGAGAGAAGGAUGAGCUAAGAGGAGGGGACUUCUCCAACAGAGUUCUAGUACUCAUAUGCCUGUUUCUAUGCCUUUCAUUGCUGGUGGCUCUGCUCUGCAGCUGGGGUAAGGUAUCUUCUGCUGGGAUGCUUCUGGAGAUCCACAGACCAUUUUGGUUGGAGAAAGGGUCCAAUCAGCUACUCUUCAUGAAGGAAAUGGGACCAGCUCCACUCCCCAGCUCUCCCUGACAGCAACAGGGGCUCAGGGGCCCUGCUGGAAUACCCACAAUAAAGCUCGGUUUUGACCUCAACCAGUGAUCACCUAACUCUGGUGUAAAAGUGGUGCUGUGAGGGGGUGCACCAGGUGGGGUGCAAUAUUAGAGGAAAUGAGUGAGUGGGAAAUUUAAGAAUCACUCCUCAGUACCACAUGCUUCUCCUCUUCCUCAAACUCGCCUUGGACCCUGUUUUCUUCCAUGUCGCUUGGAAGCCAACUCCACUCCUGGCCAUUCCAUCCCCUCGAAUCUGAGGAGACAUGGCCCGCAAGUGGACUGCCUGGUCCUGAGCAAGUCUAGCGAGGUAGUACUGAAACAGGGGGAAUAAAUACUGAGUGGCAGAACCCCCGGCCCCUGCCUCUCUGUAGAGAUGCCCUAUCAAGACAGACAAGAAGCUCUGGCAUGAGGAAUGUUGGCCAGACCUCCACAGAGAAAGGGGAAGUAAGAGAAACACUGAUCCACUUCUCCACCUAUCCAUGCACUCAUUGGCUGACUCUUGCGUGUGCCCAGACCAGAGAUUGAACCCACGACCUUGACAAAUUUCGACAAGGCUCCACCAACUGAGCUACCUGGCCAGGGCGCAUGCACUAUAAUUAUUUUCAUUUCAUAGAUGAGGAAAAUUGGGGCUCACAGUAAGUGAUUUCCAUACUAUCACAUUCUAUUAAAUGGCAGAAGAGAGCCUGGAACUUAAGACAAUAGGGCUCUUUCACUACACCAGGCUUUCUGAGAGCUUGACUACGGCCACUGGGAAAAGGGUGUGUUUGAAGAGAGAUGUCAGAGGCAGGAAGAGCAUUGGAGCAGCCUCAGUCAAUUCGGUUCAUAGUUUAGAAGAGUAGCAGUAUCAUAGAGCAGGGAUGAUAUGGCAUGUGUCCUUGACAUUGUUUCCCCUUCUCCAGAGAAGAGCAAGACUGAAGUGGGUGGAGCCCAUAAGAAAUCUUCCCACAGACGUGAGACCUGGAAUGGGAAAAGGAGGAUCCAGCCUUUGGCUGUGUGUCAGAGAAGAAGUGGGCAAGGUCCUCCUUGGAAAUGUGAAGGUUAAUGUAUGUUUGACAGGUCUAAGGAAACUGAGGCCCAUGACAAAGAGCGAGCUCUCUAUUCCGAAGGGGUAAGGGAGGUGCAGCACCUUUUUUGGGUUUUGGUUGUGGUGAGGGUAACUACAGUUCAUUUGCACACGUACUUACUACACCUUGGACAGGCUCAGUGUCUGGAACGUGGUUCAGGGGGCAAAUAGAGUGGAAGCAAAAAUCCCAGUCCAGUGUUUAGUCCCGAUUUCACCACUGCUCUUUUCCCUCCAACUAAGUCAGAAGGAGUGGUAGAAAUUAUUUGGUCUGUCCCCCAGCCUCUGGGCACUAGUUGAAACUGACAGGUGGAAACCUAGAGUUGGCCCAGACGUGAUGGAUGGUAGAGAUGCCAGUUUGCAGGAGAGAGGGUUUGGCUGCUCUCCUGGGAGCUGUGUCUAGCCAAAGGCUGCCUCCUCCCACCUCUUGCUGGAACCCGCUCUUUUAUAGUCCAUGUCACCAUUGCUCCCUUGGCCUGUCGCAGUGACUGUGGACUUAUAACAACUUUCCCCAUCUACUUAUGGCUCCAGAACCAGGCUGGCUGCACAGAUCCCUCUUCUCCAUCUCCCUUGGCCCAUCAAAAAAAUGGCACAUGUUCUCCCAGUGGCAGCCACCAUCCUUACCCAGUAAUUUCAGCCAUGUAGACAAAUGCUGAGGCCGUCAGCACUACAUUGUUGAAACAACCAGAGAUACCUAUUCUGCAUGCCUGUCUUUUGGUUGGAAGUUCUUAGACCCAAGGGAGACCAUUCUUUACCAGCUCUUACCCCGCUGAGACUCCUGACUGUCAGAGGUCCUAAAUGUGGCUAGGAGACAGCUCUCUUCCCUUGGAGCCAAAAUGGCUUCUAACCAGGAAAUACCAGGGCCCCUACUCACUCGCUUUUUUUGGCUGCCUCUCUACUCCAGGCCCCGUUCUCUCCUGCCACCACUCCCUUCCCAUUCCUCCUCUCUCCUCUCUCUCUCUCUCAGCAAGUUUUUUAUGUGAUUACAGGCACUGCAUGGUAAUUAGUGCUAAACUCAUUUGCACAACUACAGUUAAUUGGCUACAACAAUUAAUUAAUGUGUUGGAAAUUUGGCACUGGAAAAAAAAAGUUUGUCAUCAAAAAAAGGGCAAAAAUUUGUAGAGUAAGGUACCCAUAAAAAUUGAGGGCAGGCUUCAAAAGCCCAGCUGGGCCUCACGCUUCAGGCCGGCCUCGGACGCCUUCCCACUCUCAACUUCAACGCAUUUUCUUCCUUCCUCUUUCAUUUUUUUCCUCUUCCUUUUUCCCUCGCACCCUUCCUCUCUCUUCAUCUCUCUUCCCCUCUCUUUCUCUCUCUUUUACAACUUAAGCAAACUCAUUUCCCUGAUAAAAUAUAGCAUGACUAAUGGCUAGAGCAUGUAAAAAUCAUUGGGAAAAUGUCCUUGGAAGACGAAUGCAUUUUCAGCAGAAUAAUUAACUUAAUUAACAAAUUCACAUGCAUAUUCAUCAGGCUAUUAAUGUCUUCUCGGCUCAGCUUGAUGAACAUUGCGGUAAUAACCAUCUCAUUUACAUACUGCAUUCUACUGCGAUCCAAAACAGAGACAACAUACAGGCGUAUACACACACAUAUACACUUGCACAAAUACACACAACAUGCCUGGGCCGCUUUGAUUUCCAGGUUGGCUGUGUGUGUGUGAGAGAGAGAGGGAGUGUGUGUGUGUGUGUGUGUGUGUGUGUAGGAACCCCGACUGGGCGAUGCGAUCUUCAGAGGGUCAUGAGCAAGGUGGGGUAGGGGUGUCCACAUGUGGAUGUCUGAGCGAACUUUAAUUCAUUCUCUCUCUCUGCCUCUUUUUCCUUGUUUCCUUUCCUCUGUGUCAUUUUCUUCUCUCGUGCCGCCCGCCCCCCAGUCUCUCUAGGGAAAAACUUGGUAUCUGUGCCAACUUUUUCCCUCCUCCCCUCCUCCCUCUCUCUCCUCCUUCCCCACUUCCAACUGCUGCCAGCCGGCAUCAGCACCGAAUUGCCAUCUCCUUGAGCUCUCUGUGGAGCAAUCUCAGAGAGCAGUAAGGUGUGACGCGGGGCUCUGCCGGCUUCGCAGCACCGCCUGCGGAAAGAGCGCAGGAUGGCGGAGGAAGAUUAAGAGAAAUCGCGAGCAGGGCUGGGCUGCCAUUGGUGUGUGCAAACGCCGAGGAGGAAGGGAGAGGGAGAGCAAGGAGGUGGGGGUAGAAGGGGCGGGGGGACCAGCAGCUGUCGGCCUAAUUCUUCUAACACUCUGCUUGUGGUCAUAUUAGAAAAACAGAUUAUGCCCCUCGGUGCCACUCACUUAUACUUGACAAUAGUUAAUGUUCUCUAUCUCCAUUCGCAGGUCUUGAUGACAAUGGACUUCAGGUCAAGGAGGAUGGGGGUGUGGGUGGCCAAGGGGCACCCAAGGCCGACCCCUCCUGCUCUCCUGACCCCAGUCUAUACUAGCCCUCUAGGAAGCAAGUCUGGGCCAUAAUUUUCAUCUGAUGCUACCAUUUGGCUCUGCUUUUUGCAGCCCCUUAGGAGAUGCAGAGGUCAGAGGACACCUGGAAGCCCUUUCCCCUGGAAAGUUACCACCCUUUUAGAGUCUUAAUAGGUCACAUUAGGUCGAAGUAAGACCAGCUUUGUGGCACCCCUUCCUCUACCCUUUCUGUGGGCCCUACCCCUCAAUCCAGAAGUUGAGGGGUAGAGAAAGCGGUCCAUGAUAGUGCUCCAUGAGAGGGCUACAGAAAAGCCAUAAACAAAACAAGGCCAGGAUUGUUUCUAGGUUGCUAUGGAAACCAGGUUCCCUCCUCCUGGCAGAAAGGGAGGACUGCCUGAGGCUUGCCUCCUUCCACCAAUCCGGAAGGCUGUAACGGUGGAGUUUGCUAAGGCUCUGAGAAUAGAGGCCUGGUCUUAGAGGACAAACCAACCAUUCCCAGUAGCACUGUCUGCCAGACCACAGCCCUUUGACCUCCACCUUCCUUACCCUCUCACCCCAAAAUUCAGUCAAAGGAGGCUUUUCCUCUCAGUGCCUUGUCCUCUAUGGAGACCUGUUGCUUAGCAACCACUAGUGCCUUCUUCCUAAUAACUUGCAGGGACUGAGAGAUAUAAUAUCUGUCUCUAUAUUCAGUCCCCCUCCCCUGUCUAUUUAUAUUUAAUAACUGAAGCCCUGUCUUGGGUUCUCUUGGCACUUGUUUUAGAGUGCUUUUAGAUGGAGUGAGCUACAGGCUGAAGAAAUAAAGUUGUACUUUAUGAAGAACUCCCAAGCAGGCAAGAGUGGGAGAAAAGACUGGAGUAGAUAGGGAAGUUAUGGGGCGAUACUUUUUUAGGUGUAUGUAGGUGGGGCGGGGGGAAGCACUGAGAACUUGGAAUGUGCGGGGAGGAUGUCUACAGGGCUUCCCAAGGGUCUGUUCAGGAGCCCGGGGUGGACCCUAAAAACUGCUUCCUGGCUUGGCACUUUCCACCCCCCACACCCUGUCCUGCCCUCCUUCCUAGCAACUCUCAGUCUAGAGCCCUCUCAUAUUUCUGUACGUAGGAGGUCCACCCCUCUGGAGCUGUCCGGUUUCCUAGCAUCUGCAUGCUGGUAUCCGAGAGGGGGCUGUGUGGAUGUAUGUCCAGCAAGGCCUCUUGGGUGUCUCCCAAAGUUUUUCAGUCACAGGGAAGGGAUUCUGAGCUCCCUCCUAGGAAGCUCCAGAGCUGACCUAGCAGUGGGGGCUGCAUAGUAUCACCGAAAAUGAGGAGCAAGGAAGGCCUACGUGUAGCCUAUGGGCUGUAUGUGGAGUCAGAAGGCCUGGGUCUGAGCCCCCUCUUCCUGUUCUCCUGUGAUCCUAGUUAACCUUUCCCUUGUGCUUCAUCUGCAGAUCAGAAAUGAUGUUUACCUCCUUGGACUUUUGUGGGAUCAAUUUAGAGUAAUAUGUGAAAGGAAACACUCUGAAAACUGACAACUUUAACUAAAAUAUUAGUUUAAGGUCUGGAAGAGGUCUAAUUGCUGGGAAGAGGGAGGCAUCAUUAAUCCAGUCUUGCCCUGGGCUAGGAACGCCAUUAGCUUUUUAGCCAGAGAGGCAUGAUUCUUUGCCCUCUAGUUGGCGGGGUGGGGAGCUAUAAAUCAAAAUCAAACACAAGUCCGUCUAGGGAAAGUAGCACGCAGUGUUCCCAUCAUCUUCCCCUCCUCCAGCCCCUAACUCUGACCUUUAGUCCUGAGUGGCCAAGACAAAAGUCCUGCCAACACCCCACCCUGGACCUUCCAUCCUUCUGGGUCAGCACCUUCCCUGCAUUUGUGCUGGCUCACAGACUGUGCGGUUUCACCCUCAUACCCCCCUUCUCAGCACCUCCUCCAACCCGAGCCUUCUGUGGGAGACAGAUGGGGUGUCUGCAAUGGAAAAGGCUCUGGGCUCUACGCCGCUUUGGGUGGGCAGCCCCCUCCCCAUCUCCCACUACUCCCCCUCUUCCUACCUAAGACACUCAGAUUCACCCUGGGCAGCUUUAGGAGCUACUGAGAAUUCCAACUCUUCCUUCUCAGACUCAGCUCAAGAAGCAGAGCCAGCAUGGCAUCUUUCUCCAAGACCUAGACCCCAUCCCCUCUUCGUAGAAGACCGAUGCAAGGAGGAAAUAGACUAGGGAAUGGUAGAGCUCCAUGUGAAGGAACUAAUGUGGAGAGGCUCGGAAUCCCUCACUGAGGACUGGGUGGCUGGGCUUGGGGCCUGAGUUGACAGAGGAGGCUGAGCCUAGGCAGCUCCUUUGUUCCAGAAAGCUGGGGUCCCUGGAGGGAGGCUUAGCUUGGGGAGGGGGAGAAAGGGAGCUAACACUACAGAGCACCAACUGUGAGCCAGGCAUGAUGCCAGAGCCUUUCCAUACUUGUAGUCACAACUAGCAGGUGAGGAGUCAGGACGAAUAGGUGUCUCAGGAGCUCUCAGCACCUCGGCGCAGUUGACCUCCUCCCCCUCUGAUUCUGUGAUGUCACUGCCAGUUCUCCCCCUGCUCUGGCCGCUCCUUCCGUCUCCCUUGCAACCUCAUCCUCAGCAACUUGGGCUCAGCCAAGGCCUUCGAUUAUCUACUUUCAUGGUACUGUAUAUCCUUUCAGCACACUUAGAACAGUUACUUCACACUUAUUUGUGCAGCUUUUUGAAUAAUCUUAUUUCCCCUCCAGAUGGAAAGUUCCACAAGGACAACGACCAUGUCUGUCUGUUCACCCAUGUGCUCCCAGCGCCCAGCACAGCGCCUGGCAUAAAGCAGCUAUUUGGUAAACAUUUGUUGAGUGAAUGAAUAAAUGACAAAAUGAUAUCUC